Molecule: ribosomal RNA, 485 nt
Filed under: Aeromonas veronii
Lineage: Bacteria; Pseudomonadati; Pseudomonadota; Gammaproteobacteria; Aeromonadales; Aeromonadaceae
Description: bacterial SSU rRNA
Rfam family: Bacterial small subunit ribosomal RNA
Source: RNAcentral
ACGCUGGCGGCAGCGCCUAACACAUGCAAGUCGAGCGGCAGCGGGAAAGUAGCUUGCUACUUUUGCCGGCGAGCGGCGGACGGGUGAGUAAUGCCUGGGGAUCUGCCCAGUCGAGGGGGAUAACUACUGGAAACGGUAGCUAAUACCGCAUACGCCCUACGGGGGAAAGCAGGGGACCUUCGGGCCUUGCGCGAUUGGAUGAACCCAGGUGGGAUUAGCUAGUUGGUGAGGUAAUGGCUCACCAAGGCGACGAUCCCUAGCUGGUCUGAGAGGAUGAUCAGCCACACUGGAACUGAGACACGGUCCAGACUCCUACGGGAGGCAGCAGUGGGGAAUAUUGCACAAUGGGGGAAACCCUGAUGCAGCCAUGCCGCGUGUGUGAAGAAGGCCUUCGGGUUGUAAAGCACUUUCAGCGAGGAGGAAAGGUUGGUAGCUAAUAACUGCCAGCUGUGACGUUACUCGCAGAAGAAGCACCGGCUAACUCC